AAAACAAUUACCCGCGCCCCUAGUGGUGGUCGAUAUUAUUGAGCCUAAAACGUCCGUAGCCGGUCUUUUAAAUCCUUGGGUAAAUCGGGCAGCUUAACUGUCCGAAGUCCGGGGAGACUGGGAGACUUGGGACCGGGAGAGGUCAGAGGUACUUCUGGGGUAGGGGUAAAAUCCUGUAAUCCUGGAAGGACCACCGGUGGCGAAGGCGUCUGACUAGAACGGAUCCGACGGUGAGGGACGAAGCCCUGGGGCGCAAACGGGAUUAGAUACCCCGGUAGUCCAGGGUGUAAACGCUGCGGGCUUGGUGUUGGGGGUCCUUAGUGGGCGCCCAGUGCCGGAGAGAAGUUGUUAAGCCUGCUGCUUGGGGAGUAUGUCCGCAAGGAUGAAACUUAAAGGAAUUGGCGGGGGAGCACCGCAACGGGAGGAGCGUGCGGUUCAAUUGGAUUCAACGCCGAAAAACUCACCAGGAGCGACGGAUAUAUGAAGGUCAAGCUGAUGACUUUACCUGAUUUUCC
Molecule: ribosomal RNA, 515 nt
Filed under: uncultured archaeon
Lineage: Archaea
Description: bacterial SSU rRNA
Rfam family: Archaeal small subunit ribosomal RNA
Source: RNAcentral